Pelobates cultripes (western spadefoot toad) is the source of this 438-nucleotide non-coding RNA. The record is from the annotation of a GenBank genome assembly. NCBI's taxonomy places the organism in Eukaryota, Metazoa, Chordata, Amphibia, Anura, Pelobatidae.
AAAAAAGUAGCUAGUCUAAGUGAUCUUGAAACAAUUUAUCCAAGUAGUAAUUACAGGGCAAAAUAUAUACCGUGGGGGCCCCGGCGCAUCUGCACCACAACUGAGUAGGGAUCGACCGAUAGGGAUUUAUUUUUUUAGAGGCGACACCGAUAAUCUGUGAACUUUCAGGCCGAUAGCCAAUAACUUACAGAUAUUCUGUACAUUUACCAUUUAAAAAAAAAUAAACAACACAGACCUGGAAACCAUACACAAAUGAAAAUGGUAAUAUAAAAGAAAAAUUUAAGAAAACACUUUCACUGACAGGUAACUGAAUGCAGCAUAUGCCCCUCUUAUAAUAUAGUAAAGUGCUACGGAAUCUGUUGGUGCUAUAUAAAUGGCAAUAAUAAUAUUAUUAGUCCUAACAUACAAAUAUAAUGGAAUUAAUGCUCAGAGUGUCAG